GGUUAAGCGACUAAGCGUACACGGUGGAUGCCCUGGCAGUCAGAGGCGAUGAAGGGCGUGCUAAUCUGCGAUAAGCGCCGGUAAGGUGAUAUGAACCGUUAUAACCGGCGAUACCCGAAUGGGGAAACCCAGUGUGAUUCGUCACACUAUCAUUAACUGAAUCCAUAGGUUAAUGAGGCGAACCGGGGGAACUGAAACAUCUAAGUACCCCGAGGAAAAGAAAUCAACCGAGAUUCCCCCAGUAGCGGCGAGCGAACGGGGAGGAGCCCAGAGCCUGAAUCAGCAUGUGUGUUAGUGGAAGCGUCUGGAAAGGCGCGCGAUACAGGGUGACAGCCCCGUACACAAAAGCGCAUGUGCUGUGAGCUCGAUGAGUAGGGCGGGACACGUGGUAUCCUGUCUGAAUAUGGGGGGACCAUCCUCCAAGGCUAAAUACUCCUGACUGACCGAUAGUGAACCAGUACCGUGAGGGAAAGGCGAAAAGAACCCCGGCGAGGGGAGUGAAAAAGAACCUGAAACCGUGUACGUACAAGCAGUGGGAGCACCCUUUGGGGUGUGACUGCGUACCUUUUGUAUAAUGGGUCAGCGACUUAUAUUCUGUAGCAAGGUUAACCGAAUAGGGGAGCCGGAGGGAAACCGAGUCUUAACCGGGCGUUAAGUUGCAGGGUAUAGACCCGAAACCCGGUGAUCUAGCCAUGGGCAGGUUGAAGGUUGGGUAACACUAACUGGAGGACCGAACCGACUAAUGUUGAAAAAUUAGCGGAUGACCUGUGGCUGGGGGUGAAAGGCCAAUCAAACCGGGAGAUAGCUGGUUCUCCCCGAAAGCUAUUUAGGUAGCGCCUCGUGAAUUCAUCUCCGGGGGUAGAGCACUGUUUCGGCUAGGGGGCCAUCCCGGCUUACCAACCCGAUGCAAACUGCGAAUACCGGAGAAUGUUAUCACGGGAGACACACGGCGGGUGCUAACGUCCGUCGUGAAGAGGGAAACAACCCAGACCGCCAGCUAAGGUCCCAAAGUCAUAGUUAAGUGGGAAACGAUGUGGGAAGGCCCAGACAGCCAGGAUGUUGGCUUAGAAGCAGCCAUCAUUUAAAGAAAGCGUAAUAGCUCACUGGUCGAGUCGGCCUGCGCGGAAGAUGUAACGGGGCUAAACCAUGCACCGAAGCUGCGGCAGCG
Molecule: ribosomal RNA, 1168 nt
Filed under: Salmonella enterica subsp. enterica serovar Newport str. CVM 21559
Lineage: Bacteria; Pseudomonadati; Pseudomonadota; Gammaproteobacteria; Enterobacterales; Enterobacteriaceae
Description: bacterial LSU rRNA
Rfam family: Bacterial large subunit ribosomal RNA
Source: RNAcentral